Molecule: ribosomal RNA, 253 nt
Filed under: uncultured bacterium
Lineage: Bacteria
Description: partial 16S ribosomal RNA
Rfam family: Bacterial small subunit ribosomal RNA
Source: RNAcentral
UACGUAGGGUGCAAGCGUUAAUCGGAAUUACUGGGCGUAAAGCGUGCGCAGGCGGUUUUGUAAGUCUGUCGUGAAAUCCCCGGGCUUAACCUGGGAAUUGCGAUGGAGACUGGCACGCUCGAGUUCGGGAGAGGAUGGUGGAAUUCCCAGUGUAGAGGUGAAAUUCGUAGAUAUUGGGAAGAACACCGAUGGCGAAGGCAGCCAUCUGGACCGACACUGACGCUGAGGCGCGAAAGCGUGGGGAGCAAACAGG